GGUAGCGUGGCCGAGCGGUCUGAGGCGCUGGUUUAAGGCGCCAGUCUCUAAAGAGACGUGGGUUGGAAUCCCACCGCUGCCA
Molecule: non-coding RNA, 82 nt
Organism: Nematostella vectensis (starlet sea anemone)
Lineage: Eukaryota; Metazoa; Cnidaria; Anthozoa; Actiniaria; Edwardsiidae
Source: Rfam